This 539-nucleotide ribosomal RNA is filed under the name uncultured Cenococcum. Its description in RNAcentral is "eukaryotic LSU rRNA". The stretch from base 171 to 324 matches the Rfam family "5.8S ribosomal RNA". Lineage: Eukaryota; Fungi; Ascomycota; Dothideomycetes; Gloniales; Gloniaceae. The record is from RNAcentral.
UCCGUAGGUGAACCUGCGGAAGGAUCAUUACAGAAAGUAAACGCGGAUCGAACCGCGAACUUCUAAACCUUUGACGAUUGACUCAUGUUGCCUCGGCGGGUUCUCCCGCCAGAGGAUACAUCAAAACUCCUGUUUUAACGGUGUUGUCUGAGCUACAAGCAACGAAUCAAAACUUUCAACAACGGAUCUCUUGGUUCCGGCAUCGAUGAAGAACGCAGCGAAAUGCGAUAAGUAGUGUGAAUUGCAGAAUUCAGUGAAUCAUCGAAUCUUUGAACGCACAUUGCGCCCCUUGGUAUCCCGAGGGGCAUGCCUGUUCGAGCGUCAUUUCACCACUCAAGCCUGGCUUGGUGUUGGGCGACGUCCCCUUUGGGGACGCGCCUCGAAACGCUCGGCGGCGUGGCACCGGCUUUAAGCGUAGCAGAAUCUUUCGCUUUAAAAGUCGAGGCCCCGUCUGCCGGAAGACCUACUCGCAAGGUUGACCUCGGAUCAGGCAGGGAUACCCGCUGAACUUAAGCAUAUCAAUAAGCGGAGGAAAUCUC